RNAcentral lists this long non-coding RNA (210 nucleotides) under Elaeis guineensis (African oil palm). RNAcentral's name for it is "long non-coding RNA (EGUI_LNC060449)". Lineage: Eukaryota; Viridiplantae; Streptophyta; Magnoliopsida; Arecales; Arecaceae. The record is from RNAcentral.
UCCUCCAAGGCUGAAUCUAAUCCCAUUUGUACCAGCAGAUCCUCCACCCUCACCUUUCACAUGGUGAAACUUUCUUUUCCAUCAAAUCUCUCAAAUCCAAUUUUCAAUCCACUACUUUUCACGAUCAAUCCAGAUCAAAAAUAGCACAUAAGAUAGAUCCAAAAAAUACCUGAUACAGGGAUGGUGGACAAUAGCCCCUAGAUCUCUUCC